UACGUAGGGAGCGAGCGUUAUCCGGAUUUAUUGGGUGUAAAGUGCGCGUAGACGGAUUUGCAAGUUGGAUGUGAAAUCCCUGGGCUUAACCCAGGAACUGCAACCAAACCUGUAAACCUUGAGUAUGGGAGAGGAAAGCGGAAUUCCUAGUGUAGCGGUGAAAUGCGUAGAUAUUAGGAGGAACACCAGUGGCGAAGGCGGCUUUCUGGACCAAAACUGACGUUGAGGCGCGAAAGUGUGGGGAGCAAAC
Molecule: ribosomal RNA, 250 nt
Filed under: uncultured prokaryote
Description: partial 16S ribosomal RNA
Rfam family: Bacterial small subunit ribosomal RNA
Source: RNAcentral